GACGAACGCUGGCGGCGUGCUUAACACAUGCAAGUCGAACGGAAAGGCCCUGCUUUUGUGGGGUGCUCGAGUGGCGAACGGGUGAGUAACACGUGAGUAACCUGCCCUUGUCUUUGGGAUAACUUCUGGAAACUGGGGCUAAUACCGGAUAGGAGCUCCUGCUGCAUGGUGGGGGUUGGAAAGUGUCGGCGGUUGGGGAUGGACUAGCGGCUUAUCAGCUUGUUGGUGGGGUAGUGGCUUACAAAGGCUUUGACGGGUAGCCGGCCUGAGAGGGUGACCGGCCACAUUGGGACUGAGAUACGGACCAGACGCCUACGGGAGGCAGCAGGGGGGAGUAUUGCACAAUGGGCGGAAGCCUGAGACAGCAACGCCGCGUGCGGGAUGACGGCCUUCGGGUGGUAAACCGCUUUCGCCUGUGGCGAAGCGGGAGUGACGGUAAUGGGUAAAGAAGCACCGGCUAACUACGUG
RNAcentral lists this ribosomal RNA (468 nucleotides) under uncultured bacterium. RNAcentral describes it as "partial 16S ribosomal RNA". It matches the Rfam family "Bacterial small subunit ribosomal RNA", at positions 28 to 507 of the family's 1533-position model. The record is from RNAcentral.